GCGGCAGUGGCGGAAUCGGCAGACGCACCAGACUUAGGAUCUGGCGGGUGACACCGUGGGGGUUCAAGUCCCUUCUGCCGCACCA
This 85-nucleotide transfer RNA is filed under the name Syntrophomonadaceae bacterium. Its description in RNAcentral is "tRNA-Leu". It matches the Rfam family "tRNA". From Rfam's summary of the family: Transfer RNA (tRNA) molecules are approximately 80 nucleotides in length. Their secondary structure includes four short double-helical elements and three loops (D, anti-codon, and T loops). Further hydrogen bonds mediate the characteristic L-shaped molecular structure. tRNAs have two regions of fundamental functional importance: the anti-codon, which is responsible for specific mRNA codon recognition, and the 3' end, to which the tRNAs corresponding amino acid is attached (by aminoacyl-tRNA synthetases). tRNAs cope with the degeneracy of the genetic code in two manners: having more than one tRNA (with a specific anti-codon) for a particular amino acid; and 'wobble' base-pairing, i.e. permitting non-standard base-pairing at the 3rd anti-codon position. The record is from RNAcentral. Lineage: Bacteria; Bacillati; Bacillota; Clostridia; Eubacteriales; Syntrophomonadaceae.